AAUCAUUUCAAUCUCAUGUUACGAUGAAAUGUUCAGUAUGUCUCUGUUUAGCUCAUCUCCUGUCUCUGUUUCUCUCUCAGGGUGUGGUGCGCUGUCUCUGGCAUCCCAAGCUGAAUCAGAUUAUGGUGGGGACUGGAAUCGGAUUGGCUAAGGUCUAGUCAUAGGGGGGCUAAGCUGUGUGUGGUGAAGAGCAAGAUGAAAGAGAGACACUGAUGCAAGAAUACAUCAUCACACUACCCAACCAGUUGCAAUCUUUCAAGAUGAGGAAGAGUCUGAUGAAGAGGCUGACAAUGAACCAGAUUGGAAGAGAUGCAAGAUUUGAGCCGCAACAACUCCUUUGUGUGUGCGUGUGCAUGCAAGUGUGAGUAUGAGUGUGUUUUUGUGCGAUUGUGUGCUAGUGUGCUGGGGAGUGUUUCUAUAUGAAUAUGUGUAUUCUUUUUAACUUGCUGUACUGUGUGUGUACUUUACUCCACCUCACUUUAUCCCACCUCAUUGAAGCCUAUAGCAUGACUUUGGACCUUCAGACAUAGAUCAAGACUUUCAGCUAGAUUUUAUUGAGAUGCAAUCUCUUCCAAUUAAAAUCCAUCUUGAUCUAUCUGGUGUCUAUCAUGGAGUUAACCUCUUAGACAUCCACUCAGUCUGAAGGUCUGAAGGAC
This 656-nucleotide long non-coding RNA is filed under the name Oncorhynchus kisutch (coho salmon). Its description in RNAcentral is "lncRNA (ENSOKIG00005000610.1)". Lineage: Eukaryota; Metazoa; Chordata; Actinopteri; Salmoniformes; Salmonidae. The record is from RNAcentral.